AGCUAAUAGGGAGGGCAAAACUGUAAGUUUCACUUUGACUUCCAUUUAUAGAAAAGAAUGGACAUAUUAGAACAUUUACUGUGGCUCACUGCAUCAUUGCUGUGUUUUGAUUGACACCUACACUGUGUACGUUUUAUGAAGUGACUGUGAAGGCCAUUGCUUCUAGAAAAUGUGAGAUGGUAAUCUUUCAAGGAGUUUACUUUUAAGAACUGAAAUAAGAGAAAUAGAAUCCUCAUUCUAAAUUUCCUCAGCAUUUGUCCCCCAUGAAGAUGCGUACUUGCUUGCAGUUAUUGUGUGCACUCGUUUAAUUUUUGAAAUAGGGACUGCAUGAAAAGUUGAUUUGAUAAGUGCUAUUCUAUAAUGUAUUUUCAAUCAUUUACUGAAGAUAGUUGUUUCAGGUUUUGGUGAAUUUCA
This 414-nucleotide unclassified non-coding RNA is filed under the name Hevea brasiliensis (rubber tree). The record is from RNAcentral. Lineage: Eukaryota; Viridiplantae; Streptophyta; Magnoliopsida; Malpighiales; Euphorbiaceae.